This 429-nucleotide ribosomal RNA is filed under the name Gemmatimonadota bacterium. RNAcentral describes it as "Gemmatimonadetes bacterium partial 16S ribosomal RNA". It matches the Rfam family "Bacterial small subunit ribosomal RNA", at positions 355 to 776 of the family's 1533-position model. The record is from RNAcentral. Lineage: Bacteria; Pseudomonadati; Gemmatimonadota.
UAGGGAAUCUUCGGCAAUGGACGAAAGUCUGACCGAGCAACGCCGCGUGAGUGAAGAAGGUUUUCGGAUCGUAAAACUCUGUUGUUAGAGAAGAACAAGGACGUUAGUAACUGAACGUCCCCUGACGGUAUCUAACCAGAAAGCCACGGCUAACUACGUGCCAGCAGCCGCGGUAAUACGUAGGUGGCAAGCGUUGUCCGGAUUUAUUGGGCGUAAAGCGAGCGCAGGCGGUUUCUUAAGUCUGAUGUGAAAGCCCCCGGCUCAACCGGGGAGGGUCAUUGGAAACUGGGAGACUUGAGUGCAGAAGAGGAGAGUGGAAUUCCAUGUGUAGCGGUGAAAUGCGUAGAUAUAUGGAGGAACACCAGUGGCGAAGGCGGCUCUCUGGUCUGUAACUGACGCUGAGGCUCGAAAGCGUGCGGAGCAAACAGG